GGAGCUGUGCCUGAAAAAGGGCUACUUUGAUAGAGUAAAUCAUGGGGGUUAAAUUCCCCCCAGCUCCU
Molecule: transfer RNA, 68 nt
Filed under: Johnius carouna
Lineage: Eukaryota; Metazoa; Chordata; Actinopteri; Sciaenidae
Description: tRNA-Ile
Rfam family: tRNA
About the family: Transfer RNA (tRNA) molecules are approximately 80 nucleotides in length.
Source: RNAcentral